AACGGCAGCACGGACUUCGGUCUGGUGGCGAGUGGCGAACGGGUGAGUAAUAUAUCGGAACAUACCCUAGAGUGGGGGAUAACGUAGCGAAAGUUACGCUAAUACCGCAUACGAACUAAGGUUGAAAGUGGGGGAUCUUCGGACCUCAUGCUCAUGGAGUGGCCGAUAUCUGAUUAGCUAGUUGGUGAGGUAAAGGCUCACCAAGGCGACGAUCAGUAGCUGGUUUGAGAGAACGACCAGCCACACUGGAACUGAGACACGGUCCAGACUCCUACGGGAGGCAGCAGUGGGGAAUUUUGGACAAUGGGGGCAACCCUGAUCCAGCAAUGCCGCGUGAGUGAAGAAGGCCUUCGGGUUGUAAAGCUCUUUUGUCAGGGAAGAAACGGUUGUGGCUAAUAUCCAUGGCUAAUGACGGUACCUGAAGAAUAAGCACCGGCUAACUACGUGCCAGCAGCCGCGGUAAUACGUAGGGUGCAAGCGUUAAUCGGAAUUACUGGGCGUAAAGCGUGCGCAGGCGGUUAUAUAAGUCAGAUGUGAAAUCCCCGGGCUCAACCUGGGAACUGCAUUUGAGACUGUAUGGCUAGAGUGUGUCAGAGGGGGGUAGAAUUCCACGUGUAGCAGUGAAAUGCGUAGAUAUGUGGAGGAAUACCGAUGGCGAAGGCAGCCCCCUGGGAUAACACUGACGCUCAUGCACGAAAGCGUGGGGAGCAAACAGGAUUAGAUACCCUGGUAGUCCACGCCCUAAACGAUGUCUACUAGUUGUCGGGACUUAAUUGUCUUG
RNAcentral lists this ribosomal RNA (781 nucleotides) under uncultured Pseudomonadota bacterium. RNAcentral describes it as "bacterial SSU rRNA". It matches the Rfam family "Bacterial small subunit ribosomal RNA", at positions 65 to 842 of the family's 1533-position model. The record is from RNAcentral. Lineage: Bacteria; Pseudomonadati; Pseudomonadota.